ACUACACUACGCGGCGUGAAGGGAUAAAGUAAACGAUGAUCCUUAAGGAACUCUACGCUAAAAUAGCCCUCACAUUGCAAAAUUGAUGCUGACUUGGAACCCGUUUCCGAGCCUGGUUUUUUU
This is a regulatory RNA element of Serratia sp. DD3, 123 nucleotides long. It matches the Rfam family "Enterobacteria greA leader". The record is from Rfam. Lineage: Bacteria; Pseudomonadati; Pseudomonadota; Gammaproteobacteria; Enterobacterales; Yersiniaceae.